AUUGAACGCUGGCGGCAUGCCUUACACAUGCAAGUCGAACGGCAGCACGGGUGCUUGCACCUGGUGGCGAGUGGCGAACGGGUGAGUAAUACAUCGGAACAUGUCCUGUAGUGGGGGAGAGCCCGGCGAAAGCCGGAUUAAUACCGCAGACGAUCUACGGAGGAAAGAGGGGGACCUGCGGGCCUCGCGCAAUAGGGGUGGCCGAUGGCUGAUUAGCUAGUUGGUGGGGUAAAGGCCUACCAAGGCGACGAUCAGCAGCUGGUCUGAGAGGACGACCAGCCACACUGGGACUGGGCCACGGCCCAGACUCCUACGGGAGGCAGCAGUGGGGAAUUUUGGACAAUGGGCGAAAGCCUGAUCCAGCAAUGCCGCGUGUGGGAAGAAGGCCUUCGGGUUGUAAAGCACUUUUGUCCGGAAAGAAAUCCUUGGCUCUAAUACAGUCGGGGGAUGACGGUACCGGAAGAAUAAGCACCGGCUAACUACGUG
This 486-nucleotide ribosomal RNA is filed under the name uncultured bacterium. RNAcentral describes it as "partial 16S ribosomal RNA". It matches the Rfam family "Bacterial small subunit ribosomal RNA", at positions 29 to 507 of the family's 1533-position model. The record is from RNAcentral.